Molecule: ribosomal RNA, 658 nt
Filed under: uncultured bacterium
Lineage: Bacteria
Description: bacterial SSU rRNA
Rfam family: Bacterial small subunit ribosomal RNA
Source: RNAcentral
CGGGAGAAUUGCUAGCUUGCUAAUAAUUCUCUAGUGGCGCACGGGUGAGUAACACGUGAGUAACCUGCCCCCAAGAGUGGGAUAGCCCCGGGAAACUGGGAUUAAUACCGCAUAAAAUCGCAAGAUUAAAGCAGCAAUGCGCUUGGGGAUGGGCUCGCGUCCUAUUAGUUAGUUGGUGAGGUAACGGCUCACCAAGGCGAUGACGGGUAGCCGGUCUGAGAGGAUGUCCGGCCACACUGGAACUGAGACACGGUCCAGACACCUACGGGUGGCAGCAGUCGAGAAUCAUUCACAAUGGGGGAAACCCUGAUGGUGCGACGCCGCGUGGGGGAAUGAAGGUCUUCGGAUUGUAAACCCCUGUCAUGUGGGAGCAAAUUAAAAAGAUAGUACCACAAGAGGAAGAGACGGCUAACUCUGUGCCAGCAGCCGCGGUAAUACAGAGGUCUCAAGCGUUGUUCGGAAUCACUGGGCGUAAAGCGUGCGUAGGCGGUUUCGUAAGUCGUGUGUGAAAGGCGGGGGCUCAACCCCCGGACUGCACAUGAUACUGCGAGACUAGAGUAAUGGAGGGGGAACCGGAAUUCUCGGUGUAGCAGUGAAAUGCGUAGAUAUCGAGAGGAACACUCGUGGCGAAAGCGGGUUCCUGGACAUUAACUGACGC